UACACGGUGACCAUGCCUCAUCACAGCAGCAUUAAACUAGUUCGAAGGUCAAAGUGCUUCAAUCAGCUGUACUUUAUUUAUGAACCAAACAACAAACGCAAAACGCAUUUCUCUCAACAAAAGCUUCAAUCAAUCUUUCAGUGGAAUGGAUUCUCACGAGCCCAGCCCCGCAUGCGCAACAUAUCUUGCUCCGAUAUUUAUCCCGGAGCAUACCGACACCUGUUUCUCGCACUCACAUCAACAGCACCAUUAGCUCAGCGAACCUUGACCUCGUCACCAUCGUCGUCGUCGUCGUCGUUGCCUUCGCGGAUAACUUCGGGGACAGUACUAUACUCACUCACACGGGAGAAGAAAUUUUCUCCCGUAUCUAGCAGAAACAGUAGAGUUCCUUCCUUCAUUCAGAAAAGUUUUCUGCUUCAUUGUGGAUUGCCUGUCGUCAUAAAAAAAAAGUCUGCCGAGAAAAGGAACAUCCCGAGCGAAUCGGAGCGAACGCACUAACCAGGAGAAAGAGAACCGCUAGCUUUAGAACUAAGAGAGUGCAUCAAAAGAGUGUUAAAGAUUUAGCAUGACUUCACCAAAGAUAUCGGCUGAUAAGACUAAUGCAAAUGCAUCGUCACCCGUGAAGCAGGAUGUAUCCGAAGCUAGCAAUGGUAAUGCAACGGCAGGGACCAGUGCAGAUAGCGUUGCAUCGAGCGCUGAGAGCACACCGGGAAUUGGACCCUCCGGAGUUUUCAGCUGGUUGAAGGUCUUCCGUUUUGCCAAUCUCAUGAUCAAACAGGGAUGUUAAACAGUAAAUAAUUCCAAGUUACUGAAAGCACUUUGAUGUUAAAAAUAAUUCCUUCUAUGGGCCCAUGCAUUAAUUAUGUCACGCUAAAUCGAGGAUAAAUUAACCCCCCCCCCCUCUAUCGUGACGUUUUCCCUAUACCUAAUGCAUUGCUUGUCACAAAAUCUUAGACUCCCCUAGAGCGUGACAUAAUAUAUGUAUCAACCCUAUCUGUAGCAAAAUAAAACAAUAAUAAGCCAAUUGCUGUAGAGUUGUAUUAGAACAUACCAGAUUUAUUUAUGCAUUUAAGAUCUAAUCGUAAGUAGAAAAUAUGAAUUUAUAUCUUUUAAAGAUAAACACCACAGAGUUUAUGAAACAUGUUUGUUAAAACUUAAGAAUCUAUCAAUAAAUAUUGCAAUUACGUGAUAAGCACGGGAAAA
This is a long non-coding RNA of Ochlerotatus camptorhynchus, 1203 nucleotides long. RefSeq lists it as uncharacterized. The record is from RefSeq and is a predicted model, not a curated record. Lineage: Eukaryota; Metazoa; Arthropoda; Insecta; Diptera; Culicidae. The transcript is spliced from 2 exons.